This 72-nucleotide transfer RNA is filed under the name Camelus bactrianus (Bactrian camel). It matches the Rfam family "tRNA". From Rfam's summary of the family: Transfer RNA (tRNA) molecules are approximately 80 nucleotides in length. Their secondary structure includes four short double-helical elements and three loops (D, anti-codon, and T loops). Lineage: Eukaryota; Metazoa; Chordata; Mammalia; Artiodactyla; Camelidae. RNAcentral also lists the same sequence under 2 other names. The record is from Rfam by way of RNAcentral.
GAGGGUAUAGCUCAGUGGUGGAGCAUGUGCUUAGCAUGCAUGAGGUCCUAGGUUCAAUUCCCAGUAUUUCCA